Non-coding RNA from Peromyscus maniculatus bairdii (prairie deer mouse), 1296 nucleotides. NCBI's taxonomy places the organism in Eukaryota, Metazoa, Chordata, Mammalia, Rodentia, Cricetidae. The record is from RefSeq and is a predicted model, not a curated record.
CCUGCAUGCUGCCAUGCUCCCUGCCAGGAUGGUGAUGGAUCUGAACUUCUGAAACUGAACGCAGGUGACUCAACAGCAACUCAAAGGCAUCACUGAGGAACUCCCAUCCAACAUGGGUGACAACUCCUGAUAGCUGCACUUCUGGAUCCCCUCCCCCAGGCUGGCACAAUGCAGACAUCAAAGAAGACUACUAAGGCUUAUCCCAAGAUGCUUGCAGUUGAAAGUCUAACUUGAUGGAAGUGCUAAGUUCAGAGUGGGCACCAUGGACAUGUCUUGUGAUGAGAAUGUUGGUUGAACACUGUAAGUCACAUGGGAGUGGUAGGCAUCAUGUCCCUUACCAUGAGGUAGAAUGUUGUAUACUAAUGAAAUGAGUAUGGGGUGGGGAGAAAAUGAUUUUGCUUUGAGAGAACAGGGAAGAUGGAUUUUGAUUUGGUCUUAAAGGGUGUAAGGAUUUCAUGAGAAGGGGCACUUGCAUUAAAUGAGCUAAGGUUAGCACAGGGAUAGUUAUUGCAUAUUAGUGUAUGUUUUCAUAUAGUUGUAAAGCAGUAGUUUUUGACUAGGAGAAGAAAUGGGUGAGAUGAAACAUCAAACUUAGUUGGGGAAACAUGGGGGCACACGGUAGUGGGCCAAAAGUUCAGUUUGUGAUAUUUCCUUGAGCAGAAAGUACUAUAUUAAUAGAACCUCCAGAUGGACUUAGGCUCUUGUCUUUGGAUGCCCCAGGCAAUGCCAGAUAUUUUCACUUGCUUCUUAAGCAGUCUUUGCCUUUUUCUGAAACAUUUCUCUGAAUAUUCAUUUCUAAAUUCUUUUAGAUGACCUGUGAUAUUUUUGGUGUGAUCAAAUGCCAUGACCAAAGACUCUUAUAGAAGAAAGAGUUUAUUUGGGCUUGCAGUUCCAAAGGGGUAGUCCCUAACGGGGGAGGUGUGGAAUCAGGGACAGACAGGCGAGAGAUCACAUUUUCAUCCACAGCAGGACACAGAGAAGGAACUGGUGGUCUAAACCCUCAAAGCCCAUCCCCAGUGUUAUACUUCCUGCAGCAAAACUGUGCCUCCUAAAGUUUCCAUAGCCUUCCCAAACAGCACCACCAGCUAGUGACCAAAUGUUGAGGUGACUGAGCCUAUGGGGGGCAUUUCUCAUUCAAACCACCACAGCUCAUUCUAAGUCAGUGUAGUGGUCACUGAAGCUUUACUAGGUCUCCGACACUCAAAGUGGCAGCAGUCAUCUUGUGCCCAUAUGACCCUUUUCCUAUUUCCUGUCUGUGUUCUGUCUUACUUCCUGCUCCAAAAUGGUCCAUUCCAA